GACGAACGCUGGCGGCGUGCCUAAUACAUGCAAGUAGAACGCACAGUAUAUACCGUAGCUUGCUACACCAUAGACUGUGAGUUGCGAACGGGUGAGUAACGCGUAGGUAACCUGCCUGGUAGCGGGGGAUAACUAUUGGAAACGAUAGCUAAUACCGCAUAAUAUUAAUUAUUGCAUGAUAAUUGAUUGAAAGAUGCAACUGCAUCACUACCAGAUGGACCUGCGUUGUAUUAGCUAGUAGGUGAGGUAACGGCUCACCUAGGCGACGAUACAUAGCCGACCUGAGAGGGUGAUCGGCCACACUGGGACUGAGACACGGCCCAGACUCCUACGGGAGGCAGCAGUAGGGAAUCUUCGGCAAUGGACGAGAGUCUGACCGAGCAACGCCGCGUGAGUGAAGAAGGUUUUCGGAUCGUAAAGCUCUGUUGUAAGAGAAGAACGGGUGUGAGAGUGGAAAGUUCACACUGUGACG
RNAcentral lists this ribosomal RNA (472 nucleotides) under Streptococcus gordonii. RNAcentral describes it as "bacterial SSU rRNA". It matches the Rfam family "Bacterial small subunit ribosomal RNA", at positions 28 to 474 of the family's 1533-position model. The record is from RNAcentral. Lineage: Bacteria; Bacillati; Bacillota; Bacilli; Lactobacillales; Streptococcaceae.